AGCUCCGGCAAACAGCGGCUGAGUCAGCGGGCGGAGGGCGGCCGCGAUGCCGCCCCGGCAUGUCGGGGUGCGCGGCUGCUUCCCGGAGCCCUGGCACAGCUCUGCCGCAUGGAGGGGAGCCUCAGAGUCCCCGACCCCAAAGAUGCUGCCAGGGCCGAGCCGUGCCGUCCUCAGCCCUGCUGAGGCUGGAGCGAGCUCAAAGCAAGGCCUGGUGCUGCUGGGGUCUGUGCGAGUCCCCGCGAUGCUCAGGGACCCUGUAACCCGGGCUGGGCAGGUCCCGGCGCUCCUGAGCCUCCUGCUGCUCCGCAGGGUGCGAGUGCUGCGAGCCCAGCAUCCCUGAUGCUGAAUUUGGGCAGCGCUUGAACCCCGACCCCAGCGCAGGGAAAGAGCGGAACAUUCCACUUCAACCAAAAUCUAGAUUUAUCAUCCCCGUGCGAACAGAUCAGCCCCCGGUGGGUGCCCCUCGGCAGGUUCUGGGGUGAGCUGCACCCCGCAGGGCUCAGCCCAGCUGCGAUGGGGGAAGGCGGUGCUUGUUUGGGGAGCUGGACGGGAGCCCGGGCCGGAGGCAGCAGCGGCGCAGCUAAUCCCGGCCCUCGCAGGGCUGCGCCAGCCCCGGCACAUUCUGUCCCUGCCAGCGCCGGGACGGCCACAGGCUCCGCGUGUCACCGUCCCCGCGGCACGGCCGCGCUGGCCCCGCCACCGACCCCCCGGGCCACCGGGCAGCGGCCUCAGCCGCAGGCUGGGCCACCGAGAUGGCACCGAGCAUCCCCCGGGCACAGGCAGGGCUGCGGGGAGGGGGAGCCCCCCAAAAUGCUGAAGAAAGGGGCCGCAGGAGCGGGGUGUCCCAGAGCCCCGCAGAGCUCCCCUCCAGGGUUCAGGAUUCAGGAGUGCAGCCCUUUCCUGGCAGGAGCCCCGGCUUGGCCAUGGCCCCCCAACCUCGCUGCGCUACUGCCCGACUGUACGAGAGAAAGCUGGAGGCGCUGACAAGAAUCCCGGCCGGACAGAUCGCUGCCACACGGGCACCGGGAGCGCUGCCCACCGGCGUUGGGUUCCCCGGCUGGCGUGGUGGCCUGUCCCCGUCACCGUGUGACGCAGUUUCACAGAAAGACACAGCAGGACAGAGCCGGGGGGCUGGGCGCUCCCCUCCCCCUCGGGCCCGGGGAAUAAACAGCCCCUUGUGCAGCCGGGGCAGAUGAUCCGGGGCUGACCAGCAGCCCCCGGCCAGCCCCGCUGAUGGCACAGAAUGGCUCCCUUGUGGCAGGCUGGGAUCAGCCUGGUCACAGGGCUGCCUUCGGGGCCAUCUUCACCUGGGGGGUGCAGCGCUGUGCUUCGUGUCCCCUUUGAUGUCACCAAAAAAGCCACAAGAGGCUGCAGCACAUGGGGCAGCGCUGCUGCUGCUGCCAGCGGCAGAUCCAGACACGAUCCCCCCAAACGGGGAUGCAAACAAAUUCCCUGCGAGGCCGGUUAAUCCUCCCCCGGGAAAAAUUAAUCAGAGCACCAGGGAUGCCAAAUAAAAAGCAGAUUUGAAUAAAGGUUGCAGGAGCACCAGGUUCUCACAGGCAAA
Pyrgilauda ruficollis (rufous-necked snowfinch) is the source of this 1564-nucleotide long non-coding RNA. RefSeq lists it as uncharacterized. The transcript has 2 exons. The record is from RefSeq and is a predicted model, not a curated record. Lineage: Eukaryota; Metazoa; Chordata; Aves; Passeriformes; Passeridae.